AGUGAACGCUGGCGGUAGGCCUAACACAUGCAAGUCGAACGGCAGCACAGUAAGAGCUUGCUCUUACGGGUGGCGAGUGGCGGACGGGUGAGGAAUACAUCGGAAUCUACUUUUUCGUGGGGGAUAACGUAGGGAAACUUACGCUAAUACCGCAUACGACCUACGGGUGAAAGCAGGGGAUCUUCGGACCUUGCGCGAUUGAAUGAGCCGAUGUCGGAUUAGCUAGUUGGCGGGGUAAAGGCCCACCAAGGCGACGAUCCGUAGCUGGUCUGAGAGGAUGGUCAGCCACACCGGAACUGAGACACGGUCCAGACUCCUACGGGAGGCAGCAGUGGGGAAUAUUGUACAAUGGGCGCAGGCCUGAUCCAGCCAUACCGCGUGGGUGAAGAAGGCCUUCGGGUUGUAAAGCCCUUUUGUUGGGAAAGAAAAGCAGCAGGUUAAUACCCCGCUGUUCUGACGGUACCCAAAGAAUAAGCACCGGCUAACUUCGUG
This 492-nucleotide ribosomal RNA is filed under the name uncultured bacterium. RNAcentral's name for it is "partial 16S ribosomal RNA". It matches the Rfam family "Bacterial small subunit ribosomal RNA", at positions 29 to 507 of the family's 1533-position model. The record is from RNAcentral.